RNAcentral lists this long non-coding RNA (216 nucleotides) under Vigna radiata. Its description in RNAcentral is "long non-coding RNA (VRAD_LNC000302)". Lineage: Eukaryota; Viridiplantae; Streptophyta; Magnoliopsida; Fabales; Fabaceae. The record is from RNAcentral.
GAGGAGAAGGCAACGGGGGUGAGAAUAGAAGAGAGUAACCUAAGUUAGCUGGAGUCGCGUACGGAAAGUGAUAGAUUUUGGGGAAAAUGAAAAGACAACUAUUGUACAGGUGUGCAUCUUAGAUUUCCAAGGCUUUUGCGCGUUUCUUUUCUUCAAUCGGUAUAUUCCCACACUUCAUGCACACGUACCACUGCUUUCCAAAUACGUACAUCCAAC